GAUGAAGAACGCAGCGAAAUGCGAUAAGUAGUGUCAAUUGCAGAAUUCAGUGAAUCAUCGAAUCUUUGAACGCACAUUGCGCCCGCCAGUAUUCUGGCGGGCAUGCCUGUUCGAGCGUCAUUUCAACCAUCAAGCCCCAGGCUUGUGUUGGGGACCUGCGGCUGCCGCAGGCCCUGAAAACCAGUGGCGGGCUCGCUGUCACACCGGGCGUAGUAGAUUUUAUCUCGCUCAGGGCGUGCUGCGGGUUCCGGCCGUUAAAAAGCCUUUUUUACCCAAGGUUGACCUCGGAUCAGGUAGGAAGACCCGCUGAACUUAAGCAUAUCAAUAAGCGGAGGA
RNAcentral lists this unclassified non-coding RNA (336 nucleotides) under soil metagenome. Its description in RNAcentral is "partial contains 5.8S ribosomal RNA, internal transcribed spacer 2, and large subunit ribosomal RNA". The stretch from base 1 to 120 matches the Rfam family "5.8S ribosomal RNA", at positions 35 to 154 of the family's 154-position model. The record is from RNAcentral.